RNAcentral lists this ribosomal RNA (301 nucleotides) under uncultured bacterium. RNAcentral's name for it is "partial 16S ribosomal RNA". It matches the Rfam family "Bacterial small subunit ribosomal RNA", at positions 509 to 807 of the family's 1533-position model. The record is from RNAcentral.
CAGCCGCCACGGUAAUACGGAGGGUGCAAGCGUUAAUCGGAAUUACUGGGCGUAAAGCGCACGCAGGCGGUCUGACAAGUCAGAUGUGAAAUCCCCGGGCUUAACCUGGGAACUGCAUUUGAAACUGUCAGGCUGGAGUCUUGUAGAGGGGGGUAGAAUUCCAGGUGUAGCGGUGAAAUGCGUAGAGAUCUGGAGGAAUACCGGUGGCGAAGGCGGCCCCCUGGACAAAGACUGACGCUCAGGUGCGAAAGCGUGGGGAGCAAACAGGAUUAGAGACCCCAGUAGUCCCUGUCUCUUAUAC